GACGAACGCUGGCGGCGUGCUUAACACAUGCAAGUCGAACGGAAAGGCCCUGCCUUUGUGGGGUGCUCGAGUGGCGAACGGGUGAGUAACACGUGAGUAACCUGCCCUUGACUUUGGGAUAACUUCAGGAAACUGGGGCUAAUACCGGAUAGGAGCUCCUGCUGCAUGGUGGGGGUUGGAAAGUUUCGGCGGUUGGGGAUGGACUCGCGGCUUAUCAGCUUGUUGGUGGGGUAGUGGCUUACCAAGGCUUUGACGGGUAGCCGGCCUGAGAGGGUGACCGGCCACAUUGGGACUGAGAUACGGCCCAGACUCCUACGGGAGGCAGCAGUGGGGAAUAUUGCACAAUGGGAGGAAGCCUGAUGCAGCAACGCCGCGUGCGGGAUGACGGCCUUCGGGUUGUAAACCGCUUUCGCCUGUGACGAAGCGUGAGUGACGGUAAUGGGUAAAGAAGCACCGGCUAACUACGUG
This 468-nucleotide ribosomal RNA is filed under the name uncultured bacterium. RNAcentral's name for it is "partial 16S ribosomal RNA". It matches the Rfam family "Bacterial small subunit ribosomal RNA", at positions 28 to 507 of the family's 1533-position model. The record is from RNAcentral.